CCCCCAGACUCCUACGGGAGGCAGCAGUCGGGAAUAUUGCGCAAUGGAGGAAACUCUGACGCAGUGACGCCGCGUAUAGGACGAAGGUCUUCGGAUUGUAAACUAUUGUCGUUAGGGAAGAGAAAGGACAGUACCUAAGGAGGAAGCUCCGGCUAACCACGUGCCAGCAGCCGCGGUAAUACGUAGGUGGCAAGCGUUGUCCGGAUUUACUGGGUGUAAAGGGAGCGCAGGCGGGAAGCCAAGUCAGCUGUGAAAACUACGGGCUUAACUUGUAGACUGCAGUUGAAACUGGUUUUCUUGAGUGAAGUAGAGGUUGGCGGAAUUCCGAGUGUAGCGGUGAAAUGCGUAGAUAUUCGGAGGAACACCGGUGGCGAAGGCGGCCAACUGGGCUUUAACUGACGCUGAGGCUCGAAAGUGUGGGGAGCAAACAGGAUUAGAUACCCUGGUACGG
This 451-nucleotide ribosomal RNA is filed under the name uncultured bacterium. RNAcentral describes it as "bacterial SSU rRNA". It matches the Rfam family "Bacterial small subunit ribosomal RNA", at positions 328 to 793 of the family's 1533-position model. The record is from RNAcentral.